UUUCUAGUAUAUAAAAGGUCCGUUUUGGUCCCUUAACUUUAUUUAAAGUAACGGUUUGGUCCUUUAAAUUAAUUCAAAAAAAAUGUUAAAUUUUGGUCCGUUAACUUAUUUAAUUAGUAUUAGUUUGAUCCCUAAACCUAACUUUUUUUGAAUUAAAUUAACAGAAAGGACCAAACUGAUACUUUAAAUAAAGUUAAGGGACCCAAACGAACUUUUUAUUACAUAUGGGA
This is a microRNA precursor of Medicago truncatula (barrel medic), 230 nucleotides long. It matches the Rfam family "MIR2655 microRNA precursor family". NCBI's taxonomy places the organism in Eukaryota, Viridiplantae, Streptophyta, Magnoliopsida, Fabales, Fabaceae. The record is from Rfam.